GAGUUUGAUCCUGGCUCAGAUUGAACGCUGGCGGCAGGCCUAACACAUGCAAGUCGAGCGGUAGAGAGAAGCUUGCUUCUCUUGAGAGCGGCGGACGGGUGAGUAAUACCUAGGAAUCUGCCUGAUAGUGGGGGAUAACGUUCGGAAACGGACGCUAAUACCGCAUACGUCCUACGGGAGAAAGCAGGGGACCUUCGGGCCUUGCGCUAUCAGAUGAGCCUAGGUCGGAUUAGCUAGUUGGUGAGGUAAUGGCUCACCAAGGCUACGAUCCGUAACUGGUCUGAGAGGAUGAUCAGUCACACUGGAACUGAGACACGGUCCAGACUCCUACGGGAGGCAGCAGUGGGGAAUAUUGGACAAUGGGCGAAAGCCUGAUCCAGCCAUGCCGCGUGUGUGAAGAAGGUCUUCGGAUUGUAAAGCACUUUAAGUUGGGAGGAAGGGCAUUAACCUAAUACGUUAGUGUUUUGACGUUACCGACAGAAUAAGCACCGGCUAACUCUGUGCCAGCAGCCGCGGUAAUACAGAGGGUGCAAGCGUUAAUCGGAAUUACUGGGCGUAAAGCGCGCGUAGGUGGUUUGUUAAGUUGAAUGUGAAAUCCCCGGGCUCAACCU
This 611-nucleotide ribosomal RNA is filed under the name uncultured bacterium. Its description in RNAcentral is "bacterial SSU rRNA". It matches the Rfam family "Bacterial small subunit ribosomal RNA", at positions 9 to 615 of the family's 1533-position model. The record is from RNAcentral.